GCACCUUGUGCAGUACCUCAGUAAGGUGGUGUGGAAAUCUGCAUGUUAUCCUUAGAUUGAUGUAAAAUUGAUUCUUUUUACUUCCAAUCGGUGAAAGUAGAACGAAGUCAUUGUUAUUUCGUUUCCUAAGUCGGGGCUGAGUGACACUUCCAAUAAAGACUCUAAGUGCACACUUCUAGCUUUGCGAUAUUUCAACGGAAGACAAUACUUGCUCCAUGCAUUCUAUUCUGUGUAUUUAGAACUACAUUUGGAGCAUGAAAUGAAAGAUAUCAUUAAGAGUGUCGCUGUCACAGGACGAAAAAGGAUGGACUCUCAAUGCAGAAAACGAUUCGAAGGAUGCUUUCUGAUCAAACAUUUGAACGGGCCGAAAUGGACAGGAAAGUACUUUGGAUUGAUAAAAGUUUUUAUCACUGGAGAUACAGUAUAAGGAGUCAAGUAAUAUCGACAUAACACCGGGAGAGACCCAACGUAAAGUUGCUUUUGGAAAACAAACUCAUGAGGUUAAGACGAGUCAGAGAUAUUACGUCAAAACGUUGUGUGGGCAUACCAUCUUCGCAACAUUUCUUUGUUGACCACAAUUUCUAUUUCCUGCCUCCCUUUCCAAUUCAACAGACACGACAUUUAAUCCUACGACUUUUCACAAACCUACACAUAAGAGUAGGGUAUGACCCAAUCUUACUUUGUUCAAGCAAAGUUGUGAAUAAAUUUUGGAUUGAACGAAUGAUUGCAAUUUACCUAAACCAGAUAGACUGA
Molecule: long non-coding RNA, 753 nt
Organism: Hermetia illucens (black soldier fly)
Lineage: Eukaryota; Metazoa; Arthropoda; Insecta; Diptera; Stratiomyidae
Exons: 3
Source: RefSeq, a predicted model, not a curated record